RNAcentral lists this ribosomal RNA (255 nucleotides) under uncultured bacterium. Its description in RNAcentral is "partial 16S ribosomal RNA". It matches the Rfam family "Bacterial small subunit ribosomal RNA", at positions 524 to 776 of the family's 1533-position model. The record is from RNAcentral.
UACAGAGGUCCCAAGCGUUGUUCGGAUUCACUGGGCGUAAAGGGUGCGUAGGUGGCGGGGUAAGUUUGAUGUGAAAUCUCCGGGCUUAACCCGGAAACUGCAUUGAAUACUAUUCUGCUGGAGGGUUGGAGGGGGGACUGGAAUUCUCGGUGUAGCAGUGAAAUGCGUAGAUAUCGAGAGGAACACCUGCGGCGAAAGGCGGGUUGCUGGGCUGAUGACUGACGCUGAGGCGCGAAAGCUAGGGGAGCAAACAGG